Mycetomoellerius zeteki is the source of this 694-nucleotide long non-coding RNA. RefSeq lists it as uncharacterized. The record is from RefSeq and is a predicted model, not a curated record. Lineage: Eukaryota; Metazoa; Arthropoda; Insecta; Hymenoptera; Formicidae. The transcript has 3 exons.
AGAAAAAAAACCUUAUUCUAAAGUAUCAAAAACAUCUGGAAAGCGAUCACUGCUGAAACAGACAGUAGAAGGAAAAUACUUAUUAAAACAAUCAGUCAUUUUGUGUAGUUCUAAUGAUUUGGCAAAAAUUAUAAUUGAUCAUCUCUUGAAGGAAAGGAAAACAAAUUAAAUUUCAGGAAAGUUAUAUUAUCAUUAUACGAAUAAACUUAAGAAAAUAAAAGCAGCAGUAACAGAAUUUAACCAAGAAGAAACUGAACAUAUAGAAAAGCAAAUUGAGGAGGAAGCUGAUGUGUAUAUUUCUGAAUUGAAUAAUAUGAAUACAUCUUUAGAUGAUAAGAAGAAAAUUUUAUCUCUAUGGGAAAAAACUUUUGUCUAUCGUAAAAAAGCUUACGGAAAUAAUAUUGCAAAGUAUUUUGACAGAUAUGUCUACAGUUGCGCCCACCGUUAGGAAUACAACUUAUUGAAUUAGAUUUUAAAUUAUUAAAUAUAGCGCAAAUCAAUACUUUAGAAAAAAAAGUGGCCGGUUUUGCAUCCAGACAUAAUUCGGUUGGCAAAAAAACGAUCAAUAGCAUCAAAUUUAUUACAAGAUUUCAAUAAAGUACCAGCAGAUGUACAAGCCUGGCUAGUUUUACCACAUUUAUUCAAACCAGUGCUGAAAAAAACAGGUUUAUCAAAAAAGCCAUGGAAACCAUCA